Molecule: long non-coding RNA, 1234 nt
Filed under: Sarcophilus harrisii (Tasmanian devil)
Lineage: Eukaryota; Metazoa; Chordata; Mammalia; Dasyuromorphia; Dasyuridae
Description: lncRNA (ENSSHAG00000024918.1)
Source: RNAcentral
GGGAGGAGUCUGAAAAGAGCUUUCUCUUACUGAGCAUGGCCUCUGCCCAUCCAGUGGAGGCUGGGAUGGCACAAUCAGAAGGUGUAGUUUGAUUUCUUAUUCUCAGUAAUGAACAGUGCACUCUAGUCCACUUUUGCCAAGGGAAUUAUUCUAACAUUCAUAUACUUGUCCCCUUAUAAGCACAAACUUUGAGAGUAGGGAUUAUUUCUUUCUUUGUAUUUGUAUUCACUAUGACUAGUUUAGCACAGUCUUUGACAUAUAGAAUUACAUUUAAUUUGGUUUAGAUGAAGGACUGAGGGCACCAGAAUUUCUGAGGAAGGUUUAUGGCAAGUUGGAAACUUCCUAUCAAGUAAUAAUUAAUGCAUCUUUUUCAGGGGAAGCAAUAGAGCUUGUCAGGAAUUGGUGGCAAAAAGAUUAAACAUCCAUACUCUCUGGCAUUUUCCCCCAUUUUCCAGCUUCCUUUGGUAGAUACUCUUCCUCUAUUAGAUUAUAAGAUCUUCCAGGACAAGAGUAGUCUCUCUCUCUCUCUCCUUUUUUCUUCUUAUUUUUCAACCCAUCUCCAGUUCUUUUGUGAAGCUGGCAGCUUGGGCCUAAGUCCAGAAAGACUUGCUAAUUUGGUUUUUCUCUUAAAUAGUCUGCAGAGUAAAUCCGGCAACAUUUAUCUACUUCCCAGAAUAGUGAUUUAUGACAUUAUAAAUAGUAAAGAAUGCUGAUUUCAUUAAUUUUAUUAUCUGUAGGUCUCAAAGGGGAGAAACAAAGAUGAUUUAAAAAAAAAAAGAAAAAAAUAUUUAAGUAGCAAUGAGAACUUACAAUAAAAAACUAGUUAAAAACCUAUACCUUUUUAUAUACGAUCAACAAAUUCUGAAUUAUUUUUUUAUUUUUUUUUAUCAUAAAUGGAAAAUGAAAAUAUUUAACAUGAACACUUGAUACAUAAUUUCCUUAAAACUCUUCUAUCGGGAAACAAAACUGUACAUAUUUAAAGAGUGCAAUAAUAAACACUCAUGAUAAUGUCACACCAAUUAGUAUUGGUUUAUUCCCAAAUUAUUACCAGUUUGGGCUACGGUUGUAUGAAAAAAGGUGUGCAAAGCUUAUUAGGACCUGGCCUGACAGAAGACUUAUUUCUCAGAGUCAAAACCUUUAAAUCUCUGAGUUCAGAAAGUGACAAAAUAGCGUAAAUACACUAUAAAUGGACAAAUAAGUCUUAUAAGAGGCUAGAGAUAAUGGAAAAAAUAUU